This 247-nucleotide ribosomal RNA is filed under the name uncultured bacterium. Its description in RNAcentral is "partial 16S ribosomal RNA". It matches the Rfam family "Bacterial small subunit ribosomal RNA", at positions 523 to 769 of the family's 1533-position model. The record is from RNAcentral.
AUACGGAGGUUGCAAGCGUUGUUCGGAAUGACUGGGCGUAAAGGGAGCGCAGGCGGUUUGAUAAGUCUGGAGUGAAAGCCCGGGGCUCAACCCCGGCGGGUCUUUGGAUACUGUCAAACUUGAGUACGGAAGAGGAGAGUGGAAUUCCAGGUGUAGCGGUGAAAUGCGUAGAUAUCUGGAGGAACACCGGUGGCGAAAGCGGCUCUCUGGUCCGAUACUGACGCUCAUGCUCGAAAGCGUGGGGAGC